Cercocebus atys (sooty mangabey) is the source of this 5721-nucleotide long non-coding RNA. RefSeq lists it as uncharacterized. The transcript has 2 exons. Lineage: Eukaryota; Metazoa; Chordata; Mammalia; Primates; Cercopithecidae. The record is from RefSeq and is a predicted model, not a curated record.
UGCACUCCAGCCUGAGCCACAGAGCAAGACCCCAUCUCAAAACAAACAAACAAAAUGUAAUUCCAAGCAGAGCCUUAGAUCUGUUUGCUGCAGCUUCUCACUAAACUGUCUUCAUUUUCAUGAAAUGUAGAUUUCACAUUCAUGAGCCCUUCCAGCCCAAGGUGUCGGUGGCGAGGCAUACAUUAUUGGACUGCACUAGUAUUUCACAAGAUGUCACCCCAAAUGAGCAGCUCAUGUCUGAGUCUUGGGAUCUGUGGGGCCAUGGCUUCAAAUUCAGAACCACACCUGAACGUUUUCAAGUGGCAGGGCCACUGGGACCAGCCCAGCAGGAGGGAGAUGGAGAAAAUCAAGGGGUGUGGCACUGCUCCCAGCUGCAGCAACAAGGCCUCCAGACUGAAACCACUCCUUCUAGAACCUCCUGGUCUGGAAAGACUGGUUAGCUGAGAGUGAAGACACACUCCUCAAGUCUCACACCCAAGCCCUCCUUUGCUCCACCCUGAGAAGUCAGCAUGAGGCAUCAGGGGCAUCAGCAGUUUUCCCCUUUCCAAGACAUUUCCAUUACCUGAACAAUGAAAUUAUGCCCAUAUUUAGAGAAAAAAAUGACUGUUGAAAGCUGUAUUGUCCCAUUAAAUAGAUCUGACUAACAAUUAGUUGGCUUAAUGUAGAAUCAACUUGAGUUUCUUUUUUCCUAAGCAGAUGGAAACUCUACAAGAGUAUUAAUGAAAGAAUACAAUGAUUAUGAAAUAUUUCACAGGAAUGCAAGCUGAGGAAUUCAACAGAUUCAAAAUAAGCAAUAACUCAGAUCGAAAAGGGUUUACAAGUAGAAAAGGUGAAUUCUCACACUGCAGGUUUAAUCUUCUCUUGGGUCCUCGCGGUAUACUGGAUUCAAAUCUAGCUUAACCACUUAAGUAGUUGUGUGACCUUAGGCAAGUCAUUUAAAUAUUUUAACCUCAGUUUCCCAUCUGUAAACUGGGAAGUUUGUUAUGAGGCUUGAGAUAACAAACAUACUAUACCAGGCACAUCACCGUGUGUUUGCCGGGUGAUGGUAACUAUUAUUAACCACAGACCUGAUAUUUUUAUAAAAUAUACAAGUUAAAUUUAAUAAUCAUGUAAAUGUUACCUGCCACAUACUCAGCUAAACUAGAUCUUGCUUUGCAAUCGUUUCCCAGAAAAGCGUUUAGACUAUCUAUGCUAUGAGUCACUCGAGCUCUGGGCCUGUUUUCUCAGACUCUCCCUUGCCUGUCGCAUCCAAUUCUUAGCCGAAGCUGUCACUCCACCUUGGCAAUACCUACUUUCCCAUCCACCGCCCUCACCCUGGUUCAGACUUUCAUUCCCUCCCUCCUUCACUGGUGCAAUGGCUUCCUUAAGCCAAUGCCUAAGCAGUCCAGAAGCUCAGUUAUGAUCGUCUAACUUCCCUGCUCCUCCAAUGGAAGAGACUUUCAAUGGCUUCAGUGAACACCUGCACCAGCUUCCCUCUGCCUAUCCAAAUCCCUCUCCAGGGCAUUCAAGGUUUCGAAUGCCUUGGUCAAAGAGGAUGCUUCCUCCUUUCACCUUACUGCCUCCCUGCUCAGAGCGAAUGCUCAAAAAGGAGAUCACUCCACAGGCCUCGCAGACUUUUCUCAAGCUCUUCUCUCCCCCGGAAGGCUCUCUGCCCACCCAUCUUGACACAGCUGAAAUCCUCCAAAGUCCAGUUCGACAUCACUUCCCUUAUAAAGUCUUCCCAGUGCCCCCACGACAGAUGUUCUCUCACCUCCUUGUGACGUCUCUGAAGUCAUGUACACCCCUCCUGGGCAUUCCGCUUUUGUGUGCUAGUCUUCGUGUACUUAUCCUUGGAAGGGCCUACGCUCCUUUCAAGACUAUAGAUUUCCACCUCGAUCUCCCCUGACACAACACAGAGUGCAGCCGAUGCUCAGUAAACACUUGCUGAAUGAAGGACUUAAUGGAAUGUGAGAUACUUUCAUGGUGUAAUUACAGGCCUGUCCAUUCUAAAAGUCAGGCUGUGAAGGCACAGGGAAAAACAAGGUGAGGAUCCUUGGGUCCUCAGGCCAACCCAGCCAUAAGUGGAUUCUGGGAUCUUGGGCACGUCCUCAGCUUCCUGUCUCUAAAGUGUGCAUGUGGGGUUUCUGCCUAGGCUAAGUGAUCCUUAGGGGCCCCCUGGUCUAAAAUUCAGGCAAAUGGACCUGUUUGUCUCAUGGUAAGAAAUAAGCUUCUCUUAAAACCUAAUUUAAGACUAACUUUAAAAUGUUUAUGAAAUAAUGAUCACAUGUAUCUCAGUUUUGAAAUCAUGAGAUCUGAAGAAAAAUAAGCAUUAAUAUUAUAACCACAUAUUUCCGAAGCUUAAUGACUAUUUUUUGCUUUUAAUCCUCCCACAAAUCCACCCUUUGAUGGAUGAAAGAUCUAACUGUGAGGCUUUGUUACUUUGAUAACAAAUUUCACUACAGAUUUGUAAUUUGUUUUAAUGACAGGAAUAAGACUAGAGUAAUUCUGCUGUAAUUGAAAACAGUAUUAAUAUAACAUCCUAUCCAAGAAGAAUCCAAAAUUUACAUUUCAAGACAUGUACAUGUCUAUUAUUUCAUUAUCAAGGUUGUAACAUUUACCAAAUGUUAACAAAAUUAAGUAGCUGCAGAUUCAAUUCAAUCUAAAAUAAAGACACAAAGAACAGGCGGGUGGUAGGGGAAAAAAGGGGGAUUAUGAUACAGUGAGAUCUAAUACUGUCCUAAAAAUGGGUAAGUGCUGUUCGUGGAAAGGACAGAGAGAGGGAGAGAGCUGUUUUAAAGUCAUUUUCAAAGGAAAACUAAGAGUUGGGCCCUCUACACAUUCAAAUUACUUUAUUUAGGGAAGGGCUAAAUACAAAACACUCAGCUCGAAAAUCACCAAUCUAUUAAUAAUUCAGCCAUAAAUAGCAGUUUUUGAAAUAAAUGAGUUUAAAGUCAACCAAUAGUUUUUAUACUAGUUUUGGAGCUUAAAAAAAAAGAAAGAAAGAAAAGAAGAAAACCACAAAAACCUUUAUUUAGAAAAUCUUCGGGUCAGAAAAAUACUUAUGAAAUUCUUAAUCAUCAUUCACUUAGCAGAGGGCAGUGGCUCCCUUGGGCAUAGAGGGCACCCUGCUUCUACAAAGUGCAUGCCACGGCCAAACAUAUCCCUCCACACAAAACCAGAAUGCCACCAGAAAAACUGCGACAUGCCCUGUCUUCAGCCAGUCGCUAUUAUUUGAAAACGCAGCAGUCAGCAUUUGUGGGCGAUUUUGUAGUCAGUAGCACCAUUGCAGGCUGGGACAGGCUCGGGAGGAAACUCCAUUGCCAGGAUCCCCAGAAAGAAUGACCGCCUCUCAACUCAAGCCCUGAGCCUGACGCCCUGCUGGCGGGCAGAGCAACAUUAAUGAGGAGAGAAAACAUCCUUCCUCAAAGUCAGGUAAUUUUUCACUUGGGUCUCUUUCCCCUUCCCAGAGAUGGGAGACUUGAUAAGUUUUAUAAGUAGGCUUUAAGUUGGAAAAACAGAACACAAGAAAUGAUACUACACGAUGAAAAAACAUGGAGCCUGCCCAAAAUUAAAUGUUUCAGUGAGGAACCCUAACAAAACAUGUAUCUUGAUGCAGUUCAUUAACCAAUUAAUUUAUUAAAGUUUUACUUCUCUACAAAAGGUAUAAGAAACCAAGGGAGUGAAAUAUUCGAUUAAUUAUACUGAUUAUUGUCUAUUUAAAAGAUAAGAAAUCCAGCUAGCAAAAGCAUAGUUAUAAAUAAUAAUCAAAAUAAAUACUUGGUUCAUAAAAAUGCCAAAAAGAGCUGCUAAAGAAUCCUUCACAUUCCAUUCUGACUUGGAUUUAAACUAUGUGUAACCCGCACAUUUAAAGGAUAGAUGUGCGUCUCAAAUCCUGGAGGACUGCGAGAGAAAAUUUAAAUUUCAGAUUUAAAUGGCUGGCAAAAUUUUAAAACAAAUGUAAUGAAAACCCAACUUUUCAUUCCUCCUAUUGCUUGGCACAUUUUCCCUGGAAAUCCCCAGACACAUUUUGUUCAGGAAACAAAGAACUCCCAAGAUUGAGACAAUUCUUUGCUAACUCCAAAAAAAAAAAAAAGGUGAAAUAGAUUUCCAGGAUGCUCCAGAAAUAAAUGAAUCCAAGCAGCAAACAGGUUGCAACUCGAGUAGUCCCAGCCUUCAAAACUGCUUGCAAAACAAAACUGCCCUGGAGCGCAUUCAGGUUGCUCCUCCCAGGCCUAGGGCCACAACGCCUGGUAAAUAACGUCCCGACGCUCAGCCUCUUUCCCAAAAGCCCAACGUGGGAAGAACUAGCAGGGGGCGGGGAGGUGGCGCGGGCUGCAAAACGCGCACCGCUCACGUGGGCAUGUAGAGUCCAGCUCCCGAGACCUGGGACAGGGUCUCUCCCCACCCACUCAAACGACGCCCUCGGUCUGUUUCCGCGAGGAUCCGGAGAAGCGGAUCCUCUCAGCGGGGGGUCUUCCCGGGGCACCUAGGCCAGGGCGGGCCCCCAGCGUCGUCCUCCCCCCCACACUCCCCUGCCCACACAUUCUGGAUCAAAGCAGACGCGCGGCUGGCGCUCUGAGAUCCAAGGCACACUGGGGUCUUUCAUCCGGUGUUUUUAAAAAGGAGGAAACAGAAGGCUCCGAGGCAGGGCCACAGGUGCGCUCGCCCGCGGGGCUGCGGCGCGGACGACCGAGGGGAACAGGCAAGUCCCCGCCGAACUUCGAGCGCCGGGCCCGGCAGCCACCCCGGCGGGCAAGUUUCGUUUGCGGGACAGGGGAAGCCGAAGCGGGGCCUCCUCGGGACAGGACCCCGCGCCGCCCGGACGUGCAGCCUUCAUACAAAUGUCCUCGGGUGGCCGAGGAGUCCAAGAACCGCCGCAGUCGUGGUCUCAGGGUUACCGGGGAUUGGGGGUGAGCGCGUAAAGACUGCGGAGCCCGGAGCACCACUCGGCCACCAGAUAGUGCCGGGGCCCCGCUCCUUUCCUCUUUUACAUUGAUUACGGUUGGAGAGGCUGGGUUUUGUGGUCGCAGGCCCACCUCCCCUGACCUCCCAUUCGCGGGCUGGGACAAAGGCGACUGCAGCCGAGUCCGGCAGGCAGGGGACAGCCCCGCGCUGGCCCGACGCCCCCUCUGACCACCCGCCCGGGCUCGCGGGAGGGGAGAAAGAAAACCACGACUUCCUGGAAAAGUCUUCCCCGUAAAUAUUAAUCUCUUUGGCAUAAAGAGGAAAACACUACAGCUAUUUUUUCAUGGGAUAACAUAAAAAUAUAGGUUCCAAUUUAUUUUAUCUUUUCCCUUUUGAUGCUCUUUUUAAACGAGGAGUAAAGAUUUCAACUCCAGGUCCAGUUUCCAAAUUUUGUACCAGAACCUUGCGGAUGCUUGUCUCUCGCGCCCUUCUCCGCAGACCCAAUCCUCUCCGGAACUCAGAGCUGUUCACCCAAGUCAGCGGCGGAGGCCUCCUGGGACUUGAGCCUGAGGGUGGCAAAGAACCCUAGACAGAGAUCAGCUUGGUACCGAUGAGUGACGCGGAGCUUGAACAUUCCAGCGACUUGCUCCAGAGCCACUCCCAGUUAAGAGGCUGAGUGUUAACUGCACCGUAGGCUCCACGAACCGAACCGGGUUUGGAUACAGACACAGUCACACCAUCCAUGAAAAGCUGUUUCUAUAAUAUGGAAAACUGUUAAAUGACGCUUUAGUAAAAGCCAUUUAAAGAUCUUUUUAAUAAAUUUUUCAUCUUUCCAAA